Molecule: ribosomal RNA, 253 nt
Filed under: uncultured bacterium
Lineage: Bacteria
Description: partial 16S ribosomal RNA
Rfam family: Bacterial small subunit ribosomal RNA
Source: RNAcentral
GACAGAGGGUGCAAACGUUGCUCGGAAUUACUGGGCGUAAAGCGCGUGUAGGCUGACCGGAAAGUCGGGCGUGAAAUCCCUGGGCUCAACCCAGGAACUGCACUCGAAACUCCCGGUCUUGAGUGGUGGAGAGGGAAGUGGAAUUCCUGGUGUAGAGGUGAAAUUCGUAGAUAUCAGGAGGAACACCAGUGGCGAAGGCGGCUUCCUGGACACCAACUGACGCUGAGACGCGAAAGCUAGGGGAGCAAACAGG